RNAcentral lists this long non-coding RNA (734 nucleotides) under Cairina moschata (Muscovy duck). Its description in RNAcentral is "domestica (muscovy Duck (domestic type)) lncRNA (ENSCMMG00000009968.1)". Lineage: Eukaryota; Metazoa; Chordata; Aves; Anseriformes; Anatidae. The record is from RNAcentral.
AUGUCCCCAGCCAGCUGGACCCAGGACCUGUCCAGCCGUACUGGACCCAACAGAACAGUGGAGAUUUGCAGUAGCAAAUGGAUCACCGAGGAAAUAAAUAAGAUGCUGUGGAAAUAUAUGGUGAGUAUAGAGAAAAAGGGAAUUGGUCUUGCACAUUGUAGAUAAACUUGAAUAAUGGGGUCACAUACUGCAAGCUUUGUAGUCCAAUUUCAUUUCCUUCACACAUCAUUCAGUUGUAUAAAAGCAAUUCAUCCAGUUAUCACCUCCUAAAUCUCCUUCUACAUUGUUGUAGGCAUUGAUGGCUCUUAUCUCAUUACCAUAUGCUGCUGCUGGUCAGGAGCUAUUCUUUGUGAGCAGUAUUACCCUGGUAACAAAAUAAAAACAAAUGAAAAAGGAAAAAGAUGCAUAAUUUAAUGUGGCUGUUUCAAAGAUAAUUCUUGAUUACUAUUUUUUUAGAUCUAUUUUCAGACUGCAGUAAGGAAUGAGAAGGUACCUUGCAGUGAGACUUGUUACGUCAUGUGAUUUCCAAACAAAUGUUCACAGAAAAUGGUAUUUUUUAAAAUAAGCACUGGAAACAAAAGCUUGACAUUCCUGUUGAUUUUUCCUUUCUCCCCAUGCAUCUUCAUAUCAAAGGAAUAAAAAGAAAUGAGAUUCCAACACCAAUUCCUGUCACUACAUAAAACAGCAAUUUAAUGCCACAGUCUUUUUUUUUUUUUUUUUUUUCACUGCAGAAG